Molecule: ribosomal RNA, 1005 nt
Filed under: Metridia okhotensis
Lineage: Eukaryota; Metazoa; Arthropoda; Copepoda; Calanoida; Metridinidae
Description: SSU rRNA
Rfam family: Eukaryotic small subunit ribosomal RNA
Source: RNAcentral
UAAUCGAGUGUCUAGGGAUGCUGACAGGUUUACUUUGAAAAAAUUAGAGUGCUCAAAGCAGGCUAUUACGCUUGAAUAUUAGUGCAUGGAAUAAUAGAAUAGGAAGUUGUUUCUAUUUUGUUGGUUUUCGGAAAUCGACUUAAUGAUUAAUAGGGACAGUCGGGGGCAUUUGUAUUCAAACGACAGAGGUGAAAUUCUUGGACCGUUUGAAGACAAACUACUGCGAAGGCAUUUGCCAAGAAUGUUUUCAUUAAUCAAGAACGAAAGUUAGAGGUUCGAAGGCGAUUAGAUACCGCCCUAGUUCUAACCAUAAACGAUGCCAGCUAGCGAUCUGAGGACGUUUUUUUUGUAGACUCCUCAGGAAGCUUCCGGGAAACCAAAGCGUGUGGGUUCCGGGGGAAGUAUGGUUGCAAAGCUGAAACUUAAAGGAAUUGACGGAAGGGCACCACCAGGAGUGGAGCCUGCGGCUUAAUUUGACUCAACACGGGAAAUCUCACCAGGCCCGGACACUGGAAGGAUUGACAGAUUGAGAGCUCUUUCUCGAUUCGGUGGGUGGUGGUGCAUGGCCGUUCUUAGUUGGUGGAGUGAUUUGUCUGGUUAAUUCCGAUAACGAACGAGACUCUGUCCUGCUAAAUAGUGUCAGCCUCUCUUUUGGGCUGACAAUUCUUCUUAGAGGGACUGGCGGCUCCUAGCCGCACGAGAUAGAGCAAUAACAGGUCUGUGAUGCCCUUAGAUGUUCUGGGCAGCACGCGCGCUACACUGAAUAGAUCAGCGUGUUCUCCCUUUCUGAGAAGAACGGGUAAACCGCUGAACCCUAUUCGUGGUAGGGAUCGGGGCUUGCAAUUAUUCCCCGUGAACCAGGAAUUCCCAGUAGGCGCGAGUCAUAAGCUCGCGUCGAUUACGUCCCUGCCCUUUGUACACACCGCCCGUCGCUACUACCGAUUGAACGUUUUAGUGAGGUCCACGGACUGUUUGCAGAGCGGAUUAUUCUGCCUUGCUGGCGGG